UUGGCCUCAACAAGAACCAUGGAAUGAGAUAAGAUGUUUUCUCCUUUCUUUUAAUGUGUGGACUGCAUUGGCGCCCCAUUAGAAAGGCAUUUCAAAUAUCCAUUAAUGAUUUAAUUGACUAAGUUGCAUUCUUCCCUGACUACCAUAUUGGGUUUAUCUGUGCAGAACUUCCUGCUAUUAUCUUAAGUCUCUGGCAGCUUAAUGAAGGCUGUAUGUCAGCAAACACUAUUUUUUAAAAAUUGGAGGAUAAACUUACAAGGAGUAACUGCUCCUUUAGAUCUUAGAGGUCACUCAUGCCCCAACUUGACUUGAAUGUCUGAACCAGCUGCUUCAAGAAGUCCACGUGGCUCAGGGCUGUAAAAUCAUGUUCACGUGGAACAUUCCUCUUGGGGCUUGAAAUACAAUCUGGUUAACAGACUUACAUCUUCGUGUCCUAGGUACCCAUCAAAAUACCCAACACGAAAAUUUUUGUGCUAAAUAUUUUCAAAUCUAUAUCAUAUCGAAUUUCUAUAGGAAAGUCAGUGUUUUGUUUUUUCUCUUAAAAAGGAACGGUCACUUCCAGUCUGCAGUGAUAUACCUGAAGUCUUAGACCUGUGUUUUCUGGGAGCUGUAACUGGAAUUCUCUAUAAGCCAAUUAAACUCCUUUUGACGAGUUCAGGGGAAUCAGCGUGUUUGUGUUGGCUUGCCGGGCCUUCAAGGCUCACAGACUUAGCCAGCUCAGGCACAGUUCGGCAGCCAGAGAAGGCAUUAGUCUCCCCCACAUAUCUACCCUGCAGGCUUCAUGGUGAAGAGCAAUGCCAGGGAGUUCAAGUGAUUACUUGCUUUAGGGAAACAAAAGCCAACAACCCAAGAAUCAACGUCCCCAAGAAAAGGUCAAUAGGCCUCAGUGCUGUAAUGGAUGUAACAAAUAUUUAAAUAAGGAUAAUAUAAAAAUGUGUUUGCUCAUUGAUUUAUUUCCAAUGACUUGGCUUUCACUCCACUGAGUGGUUCACAAAUUCAAACUUGAUUUCUGCUGACACGUUAGCCACACCGCUUCUCUUUUCCUUCCUUCCAUCUGCCUUUCAAUCACAUUUCACAGUCCCUUCCAAAAGGACCACAAAGUAUAGCACCAGCGAUAUUCUCAGUCUAUCAAAUGACUACAUAUUAAGUGGCUUUGUAAAGCAGUGAACCUGAGCCAAGUUUCUGUACAAUGCCGAGGAAAAGCCAGGGCUCUGGAGAGACUGGUCCAGGCCACAGGGAAUGGCCAGGCCCACUUCAAUCCUAACCAUCAGAGUAGCUUCUUCCCUUCCCAAAGCUUGAGUCCUACGGGAGGAAGAAGACGAGGAUCUCCUUGAAUUUAGAAUUGCAAUACGUCUCAGCUGGAAGGGCCCCAAGAGAUCCCCUAGUUUAGCCCAAGGAAGCAAAGUUUGGGCCACUAUAAAGAGAACUGCCCAAGAUCCUCAACUGAUAUACAGGGGAAAACAAGAGAGGAAGAAUACUGGCCUUCAGGAUGCUGCCCGCUUCUCCCUUCUGCCCACCCAGCAGCAUGCAAGCAAGCAUGCUUCAACUUAAUCAUAAGUGAACCUCAAACCACAGCUGAGGAUUGUUUUGAUUCUUGCUUGGAAAUAAUCCCAGUGCCUUCUUGGGUGGAAUGAAGUAUGUGAGGUGGGAGAAGAGGUCCCAGGCGGGAUUAUCUGCUACACAGACUGAUCUUUGUACCCACUUCCAUGUGCAUUCCCAUGCGCUCUGUCUUCGAAAGCCAUGGGGUGCUAGUGGUUCUCUCCCAACAUUUUUUCAUGAAAAUUUCCCGUGGGCACUCCAGCACCAUGUCAAGAUCAUUGACUGUAGACUCGUCACUACACCCACUGGUCUCUCAAAGAGGACAGAAAAAGCUACAGCCUUUCACUACAGUUCUUCUUUCAACUCAGCCCAUCACCCCAGCCUGAUCAUGAGAAAAACAACAGACAAAUCCCAAUGGAGGGACAUUCUACAAAACAGCUGACGAGUACCCUUCAAAACUGUCAAGGUCAUCAAAAACAAGGAAAGUCUGAGAAACUGUCACAGCCAAGAGGAGCUUAAGGAGGCAUGACAAGAUGUAAUGUGGGAUCCCAGAUGGAAUUCCGGAAUGGAAAAAGAACGUCAGAUAAACACAAAGGAAAUCUCAAUAAAAUAUGGACUUGUUUAAUAGUAAUAUAUCAGUAUUGACUCAUUCAUUGUGUCAAAUGUACCACACUGGUGCAAGAUGUUAAUAGUAGGGGAAACUGGGUGUGGAGUAU
Equus caballus (horse) is the source of this 2255-nucleotide long non-coding RNA. The record is from Ensembl. Lineage: Eukaryota; Metazoa; Chordata; Mammalia; Perissodactyla; Equidae.